This 74-nucleotide transfer RNA is filed under the name Planctomycetaceae bacterium. Its description in RNAcentral is "tRNA-Glu". It matches the Rfam family "tRNA". From Rfam's summary of the family: Transfer RNA (tRNA) molecules are approximately 80 nucleotides in length. RNAcentral also lists the same sequence under 1 other name. Lineage: Bacteria; Pseudomonadati; Planctomycetota; Planctomycetia; Planctomycetales; Planctomycetaceae. The record is from RNAcentral.
GGCCCCAUCGUCUAACCCGGUCAGGACACAGGGUUUUCAUCCCUGCGAUGCGGGUUCAAAUCCCGCUGGGGUCA